Molecule: ribosomal RNA, 253 nt
Filed under: uncultured bacterium
Lineage: Bacteria
Description: partial 16S ribosomal RNA
Rfam family: Bacterial small subunit ribosomal RNA
Source: RNAcentral
UACGGAGGGAGCUAGCGUUGUUCGGAAUUACUGGGCGUAAAGCGCACGUAGGCGGCUAUUCAAGUCGGGGGUGAAAGCCCGGGGCUCAACCCCGGAACUGCCCUCGAAACUAGAUAGCUAGAAUCUUGGAGAGGCGAGUGGAAUUCCGAGUGUAGAGGUGAAAUUCGUAGAUAUUCGGAAGAACACCAGUGGCGAAGGCGACUCGCUGGACAAGUAUUGACGCUGAGGUGCGAAAGCGUGGGGAGCGAACAGG